GACUAACGCUGGCGGCGUGCCUAACACAUGCAAGUCGAACGAAGCAGCAAUGCUUAGUGGCAGACGGGUGAGUAACGCGUAGAUAAUGUGCCCUCUUGCGGGGGAUACCGUUUCGAAAGGAACGUUAAUACCGCAUAAAGUCCUUGGGAGGCAUCUCCUAGGGACCAAACUUCCGGGGCGGGAGGAGCAAUCUGCGUACUAUCAGGUAGUUGGUGAGGUAACGGCUCACCAAGCCUACGACGGUUAACUGGUCUGAGAGGAUGAUCAGUCACACUGGAACUGAGACACGGUCCAGACUCCUACGGGAGGCAGCAGUGAGGAAUAUUGCGCAAUGGGCGAAAGCCUGACGCAGCGACGCCGCGUGGAGGAUGACGGUCUUCGGAUUGUAAACUGCUUUUGUACGGAACGAAAAGGCUCUGGUUAAUACCUGGGGCACAUGACGGUACCGUAAGAAUAAGCACCGGCUAACUACGUGCCAGCAGCCGCGGUAAU
This 492-nucleotide ribosomal RNA is filed under the name uncultured bacterium. RNAcentral's name for it is "bacterial SSU rRNA". It matches the Rfam family "Bacterial small subunit ribosomal RNA", at positions 28 to 524 of the family's 1533-position model. The record is from RNAcentral.